RNAcentral lists this unclassified non-coding RNA (1437 nucleotides) under Leishmania donovani. Its description in RNAcentral is "gene:LdHU3.07.1270(CDS-product:hypothetical_prote in)". The record is from RNAcentral. Lineage: Eukaryota; Euglenozoa; Kinetoplastea; Trypanosomatida; Trypanosomatidae.
ACCGACACGCACGCACCCGCCACAGUCACUCACUCCCUGCUUGUAGCGGCUCGCUGACUUCCAUGGACGAAUACGUGUGCACCUCAUGUGGCACACCGGCGUGCCUGGUGCUCUCUGUCAGUCCCGCGCUGCCCUCGUCUAGCACCGUCCUUGCGGACAAGGCCCGAAUCCCGCCACAAGAAGGCGGCUUGCUUGGCGCGCUGCCACCUCUGAUGCGAUUCUGCAUAGUUUGCGGGCACGAGUUGGCGCCCCGCAGCCGAGUGCCGCCUCACAAGAAGCCCGCUGACUCAGCCGCAGUACCGCGGCCAAAGCAAAGACCCGUGGCGGCUCCGAACUCAUCAUCGGAGCCUCUGGUAGCACCGACUGCCAUGGUCUCAGUCGCUACCAUGCACGCUGCUGUAGUGGCCCUCACCCGCCAGCACCAGGCAGAAAGGAUGACACUGCAGCAGGAGAUGGAUCAGCUGAAAGCUGUGCUGGCGGCAGUGCUGGAGCGCCAUCCUUCGCUUUCAGAGUCCGAGAGGGCACCCGCGAAAGCCGUCGUUCCUGCACCUCACUCCGGGGAUGCGCCCUCUUUCGAAUCUGAUUGUGGCUGUGGUGCACAUCACGGCCGUAGUGACAGCUGCUUCAGCAGCGGCCACUGCCGCACUCGCUCUCCGUCGAUUGUUCUACCAGCGUCUUGCUUAGCAAGGCCGGGGAUCUCCCCAGGCGAGGCAGCAGGUACUCUUGCUACCACGGCAGGCAACGCAUCGAUGCCGCUGCAACAGUGUGCACCUCCCCGUUGCUCGCGCACGCUGCCGCGUCACUCGUGCAGCUACGACAGCGACAUUGCUGUUUCUGAGUGGGCCGCUGCUGCUGAUGCUGUCGCCCCCACGCAACUUGAGGCGCGGCUGAAUUCAGUCUGUAGCGCAUCUCUGCUGGAUAGCGAGAGAACGCGCAGGUCUGCGCUCCUCACGCAGCAGGUGCCCUUCCCUGUAGCUCCGCUUCGGCGGUCGAGCGACGAUGGAGAACUUGACUCUCAUCAACCUCAGCAGGACGAGCACGCGCGUUUGCGAGAGGCACUGCUGCAGCAGCUGUGAAAAAGGGCAGGGAGGGGCGUCACACUGAUGACAAACCGGCAGCCGUGCAUGACCGCGGCGGGUGGGUGGUGGUGGUGGUGGGGGCCGUGAGGAGUGUAGCGGGCCAUCUCGCGUCUCUGCAGAUGAGAGUACCUCUCCGUGUGCGUCGCCUAACUUCCCCCUUCCUCUCUCGCGGCACCGCUUCGUUUCCCUCUCCUUGUGCUAAGACGUUAGACCUUCACACUUCUUGGCAGUGCUGAUCUGCGGCUGUGGAUGCUCUGCGAGCGGAAGAGCCAGUGCCGCGGUCAGCCCUUUCUCAUGCCUCUCCCCCCUCUUUCCGAAAGGCGUUCUGUGUGCUAGAUGGACGUCGUCCACCUUCGAU